GAUGAAGAACGUAGCGAAAUGCGAUAAGUAAUGUGAAUUGCAGAAUUCAGUGAAUCAUCGAAUCUUUGAACGCACCUUGCGCUCUUUGGUAUUCCGAAGAGCAUGCCUGUUUGAGUGUCAUGAAAAUAUCAACCUUGACUUGGGUUUUGUGCUCUAGUCUCGGCUUGGAAUUGGGUGCUUGCCGCUUUUACGAGCGGCUCACCUUAAAUGUAUUAGCUGGAUCUGUCUUUGAGACUUGGUUAGACUUGGCGUAAUAAGUAUUUCGCUAAGGACAUUCUUCGGAGUGGCCUCGUUUCUAGGACGCUUGUCCGCUUUCCAAUACAAGUUCCACCUCGUGGACAUGACUUUUUAUUAUCUGGCCUCAAAUCAGGUAGGACUACCCGCUGAACUUAAGCAUAUCAAUAAGCGGAGGA
Molecule: unclassified non-coding RNA, 413 nt
Filed under: soil metagenome
Description: partial contains 5.8S ribosomal RNA, internal transcribed spacer 2, and large subunit ribosomal RNA
Rfam family: 5.8S ribosomal RNA (bases 1-120)
Source: RNAcentral